UACGGAGGGGGCUAGCGUUGUUCGGAAUUACUGGGCGUAAAGCGCACGCAGGCGGACCAGAAAGUUGGGGGUGAAAUCCCGGGCUCAACCCCGGAACUGCCUUCAAAACUAUUGGUCUUGAGUUCGAGAGAGGUGAGUGGAAUUCCGAGUGUAGAGGUGAAAUUCGUAGAUAUUCGGAGGAACAUCAGUGGCGAAGGCGGCUCACUGGCUCGAUACUGACGCUGAGGUGCGAAAGCGUGGGGAGCAAACAGG
Molecule: ribosomal RNA, 252 nt
Filed under: uncultured bacterium
Lineage: Bacteria
Description: partial 16S ribosomal RNA
Rfam family: Bacterial small subunit ribosomal RNA
Source: RNAcentral